AUACGGGAGGCAGCAGUGGGGAAUUUUGCGCAAUGGGGGAAACCCUGACGCAGCAACGCCGCGUGAGUGAUGAAGGCCUUCGGGUCGUAAAGCUCUGUCAGAGGGAAAGAAAUGCGGGGUGUUAAUACCAUUUCCGCUUGACGGUACCCUCAAAGGAAGCACCGGCUAACUCCGUGCCAGCAGCCGCGGUAAUACGGAGGGUGCAAGCGUUGUUCGGAUUUAUUGGGCGUAAAGCGCGUGUAGGCGGUCUUUUAAGUCUGAUGUGAAAGCCCCGGGCUCAACCUGGGAAGUGCAUUGGAAACUGGGAGACUUGAAUACGGGAGAGGGCAGUGGAAUUCCUAGUGUAGGAGUGAAAUCCGUAGAUAUUAGGAGGAACACCGGUGGCGAAGGCGGCUGCCUGGACCGAUAUUGACGCUGAGACGCGAAAGCGUGGGGAGCAAACAGGAUUAGAUACCCCUGUAGUCC
RNAcentral lists this ribosomal RNA (465 nucleotides) under uncultured bacterium. RNAcentral describes it as "bacterial SSU rRNA". It matches the Rfam family "Bacterial small subunit ribosomal RNA", at positions 339 to 796 of the family's 1533-position model. The record is from RNAcentral.